This is a long non-coding RNA of Esox lucius (northern pike), 4787 nucleotides long. The record is from Ensembl. NCBI's taxonomy places the organism in Eukaryota, Metazoa, Chordata, Actinopteri, Esociformes, Esocidae.
UUUUGACAUGUCUCGUCAGGAGAGAUGCGCCACCGGCAGCCGGUUUUGCCAAGACCUCCCUCGCAAAAUCUGCAUGCUGCCGACCAGCGACACUCUGAUCACUCCUUCCUCCCCCUCACCGAGUCGGACCGUCUCUCUCCUACCUCCUGCCUCCAUAGGACUCUCUGUGGCCCUCCAACCCUCUCUACCACUCUCCACCUUUCCCCAUCUCCCUCUCCUGCUUCCUAUUAGUCUAUACAAACCCCUUUGUUAAAUUAUUUGUAGGUGGUAUGAAUACAGCAACUGAUGUGACCAUGUGGGCUCUGUUUAAUAUGGGUAGUACAGGGUCUGAAUCUUGGCAGCAGAGAAAAAGCUGGGAAUGAAUGACUUGGCUUGAAUGGAAAUGGCACCCUGUUCCCAUGGGCCUGGGUCAGAGGUAGCGCCCUGUGUAAAGGGCUACAGUGCCAUUUGAGACAGCCUGGGUUUGGCAGCUUACAUUUCCUUUUAGGACCCUGUUGGAUCGAGCUAAGGCUGAACUAGCCAAUGAGGUUAGAGUGUGAGAGUGAGCAGUAUUCUACAUGGCCAUUAGGGAGCACUCUCACUGCUCCUCUCUGUCUAGUAGUCAUGCUGGGAAGGUAAACAUCGGAUCUUUUUAGGCUCUUUCUGCAAUUUCUGGACCUGUAUCAACCCAAUAUGAACCUAAUGUCUCUAUUGCACACAAAAAUAAUAUUUAGGCAAAUAUGGGCAAAAACCUAAACAACCACCUUGAAAUGGGAGAUUAAAAGAUCUAGUCAAAGCAUGGAAUAGUCUUCAAGUGAUCACAUUAUUCUUUUCACACAAUUAAUGUACAUAGAAAAGUAUACUAUAUAUUGCAUAUGUAUGUACAUGUAGGCAGUCAUAUACUGUAUUUACUCACACACAUAUACAGUAUAUAUACUUAUGGAUCCCCUUAGUUGAUGUGGCAGUAUUUAAAUGCAAUAACAAAUUCAGAUUGAGCUUACAAGCUUCAUGCUUAGAGCAAAUAGCAUCAUGCUUAGAGCAAAUAGUUGAUGUGUGUGGAUGAGUGUAUGGAUGAGUGUAUGGAUGAGUUAGGUCAUAGGAAAUCCACAAACAUCCUGAAAGAGACUCUGGCUUUUACUCAGAUGUGUGCACAUUAUCCUAGCUAUAGAAUAACAGCAGCUCCGUCUGAUCCAGGCACAGCAUGUCUACCUAGGCUGACGACCCGACCAAACAUUUCAAGGUUUUUUCUGAAAAAAAUGAUGUGUGCUUACUAAUGCAGUAACUCUUUUCAUCUGCUCAGAAACAUACUACAUCUGCAGGAAAAUACAUUUAUCCUAUAAAGGGAGAGAAAAAUUAUAUUCUGGGGCUGUAACAUACUCCUGUUUGGGUUGGAGAUAUUGGCAGUUCCAUAGGGUUCUUUGUUGUUCUAGAAGUUCUACUGGGUUUUUUAGGAUUCUGUGGGGUUUUGGAGGGUGAGGGAUAAAUAUGUAAAUAACACAAUUCCAAUUCACACAUGAAUAUGAAACCUUGUACAUGUGUGAACUAUGAACUAUAUAUACUGUAAGAACCCAUAUAAAUAUAAUGAUAAGCUCCAUUUACUCUUGAAGUAUUCUAUAGGGUUCCAGGGAGGGGUUCUAAAAGUUCCAAUGGUUUCUCUAGGAUUCAACAGGGUUCUGUAAGAUUCUAUAAUCUAUAUGCGGUUCUACAAGAUUCUUUAUGAUUCUCUAAGAUAGGGUCCUCGAGGGUUCGAUAUUGUUUUGGAGUGGGUUCUUUGAUGUUCUCGAGGGUUCUGUGAUGUUCCCUAGGCUUCUAUGGGGUUAUCCAGGGUUUUCUAGAAAUCUGUAUGUUGGACCUUCAUCUCAACAUGUCUGUCCUGUUGGCGUCUGUCCAGUGGUCUCUAGUUACAUUCACCAACAAAAAUAGAGAAAAUGUUAUUGGGAAAAGAUAUACAUUUUAGUAACUGUGUAGCAACUAUUUUUAUACUGUUCAUUGUUUUAUUAUCUAAGAUUAUUUAUGCUAUUUAUGAUUUGUUGUAUUUAAUUAUUUAUUGCAAGCUUUUUUCCUGUUAGGUGUGUCUACUCUGAUUUACACAUGUUGUUACUAUUUAUUAAUUUAUUGUUUACUGAAUGAUGAUAUUUCCGAUCUCAGAAAAAAAAAUUUGUGAGAAGACAAUAGUCCACAAAGAGACUCAAUCAAAUCAUUAAGAAUAAGCUGUGUUUUUGUUAAGCUGGCAUUCCAAAACUACCUAGACUCACCAGCCACUUAGGUACACCUGCUUGUUAACACAAAUAGACCAACAGCUGCAACUCAAAACAUAAAGCAAGCAGACAUGAUCAAGAGGUUUAGUUGUUGUUCAACCAAAUAGAGAGGGGAAGUCGAAUGAUCUAAGAGACUUUGACUGUGCCAGAUGUGACUUUCACACUUUACUGCCUGUAGAGCAGAUGCAUUCAAACCUAGGGUCAUAGCGGAAAGGCGACCCGCCUUUUAUUUUUACAGAAAAUAAUAAAAUAUUAACUAAUAUAACUAUAAACAUCUUGACGAGAAAGUUCAAUGGAUUAACUUUCACAACAUCAAAAUGUAUUGUUUUUAAUAGGCUACAAUAUAUAGCCUAGUCUGAUUAUUUUGCUUUAAGAACAACAAACUUUGCAUGGCCAGUUGCUACCUGGCAAUGAAAAUAUUCGUUUGAAAAUAAAAGUAUUUGUUUUUGAAUUUUUUUAUUUUUCAUAAGCUGUGUUCACUGCUAGUUUGAUUACUGCUUGUAGGGGCUAGUGCACGGUUUGCCAGAAAAAAUGACAAUUAUAUGAUUUGUCAUUGUGGGUUGACUUUAGCGCUGCUGGAAUGUUGUCAACAAAACGUACACAAGGCUUCACACAUGGGAACAAAUUCUGGUCCCUCCCAAAACAGUCUGAAUACCACUGCUCUAGAGUUCACCGAGAAUGGCGCGAUAAGCAUAAAAUCAUCCAGUGAGCAGCAGUUUUGUGGGCAAAAACAUGAGAGGUCAAAAAGGCCACAAACACAAAAAUAGCGUUGGUGUGCAGAAGGGCAUCUUUGAUCGCACGUGUUGAACUUUAUGCUGAAGGGCGACGGCAGCAGAACAACAUGCUAGGUUGCUACUAGUUUACCUGCUACAGUGGGCAGUCAGUGCCUGAUUCCCAAAGGCCUGUCUGCAUUUACAGAGAAAGAAAUAAGAAUGUAAAGAACAGGGACAUUUUGUUAGUUUUAGUGUAGUGUGGGAAACCCUUCACUGUCUAAUGUCUCACUAAUACCCCUUUUGAAAGACUCCCACUAGUAGGCAUCUGCUUGGUGUGAUGGCUGAACUCUGUUAGACAUGCAGCCUGGUUUACCAAUGCGGUGUGUAAACUCUUAACACACACACACACACAGCAAGUGAGCUCUCUUCCCAGCAAAUGGGUCCGUCCUCAGGAUACAACAGCACAACCUCCUUAAGGCCUUUUAUUUGAGUUUGCAGGGUUUGAACACCUCCUCUGUUCACCUCCUGAUCAAUCAGUCAGGAUUAGAGAGGGGUGAAGGGUGCAGGCUGGGGAGAGAUUGUGUGCGUGUGCACCUGGGUGUUGAACGAAAUGGGUUGGAGUUACAGUCCUCUCUCAUGCACUGUGAGUCUUUAAAUGUAGGGUUGGCAACAGUGAUUCUUUUUUUUAAUAACUUUUGUUUCAAUGGGGGAAUUUUGUUUUGCUAAGAAAUAGGUGAUUUUGCAAAACAAUGAUCAAAACCACAAAUUUGCUAUACAUUAGUUUAAUUGAGGAAAUGUGUUCCCAACCAUUCCCAGAAAUAAAAUAUGAAAAAAUGAUUUUGUAUAUCAAUGUGUAAUGAAUGUAUGACAUUAUUGGUAAUUUUUAUUGUCAUAUCCACUUUUUCAAGUUAUUGUACCCCAACCAUCCGCUAUACCUAAUCUAAUCUAGUAGCCUACCCCUGCUAAAACAUGAACAAAAGUCUCAUUGAAAUCUAUAAUGCAUUGUGCACUUUAGGUCAAGAGCUUGUUUGACCAUUGAACAUAACAUGCUGUUAAAUUAGAGUUUGAACCCUGGGGGGAAAAAGGUACAUUGUUUACAAUCCAAGGAAACAGAAUGUGGGAAGUGGACAGUAUCCUAUGUUUUCCUAGUCUUACAUUAUACAGGGCAAACAGAUAUUGGUCCAAAUCUCUGCACUGUAUGUAUAAAUGUGUUAUCUGUAAUGUCUGGUGACGGCAAUGAUGAUGUUGAUGAGAAUUAUUAUGAUGUUGAAGACGACGACGACGAUGAUGAUAUUUGGUGAUGAUGAUCACGAGUAUUGUUAUGAUGAUAUUGAUGAUGGUAAUAAUGAAACUGAGUGUGAGUUUGUCUGUUUGUCUGUUGCUUGACUAAUCAGUCAGUUGGAAAGAUGUUCUGGUCAUAUCUCUGAUACUGUAGCAAUCACAAUGCAUAGUGUACAGAGCAUUAUGGGUACUUUAGUGUAUCGUGAUACUUCAGCAGCCUAAAUGCAUAGUGUACAGAACGUUAUUGGUUCUGUAGUACAUCACCAUACUGUAGCAGCCUAAAUGCAAUGUAGAGAGCAUUAUGGGUACUGUAGUGUUUCAUGCGCCAAAAUCAGAAACAUAAAAGACUGGUUAAUACAGUAUACCCAAAAAAUAUAAAAAAUAAACAUACAGGCUAGUGGAACCACCUUUAUUGGUUGGCUUGUUGGAUUGUUUGUUUAUUUGUGUGUUUAUUUGUUUGUUUGACUCUAGUGUGUGUGAUAGUGCAUGCAGUUGAUGCCUCAGUAGCCACUGAGAUACGAAAAAAUGUUAUUAUAAUGAAACUCUUUCAAUAAAG